Molecule: non-coding RNA, 136 nt
Organism: Hordeum vulgare subsp. vulgare (domesticated barley)
Lineage: Eukaryota; Viridiplantae; Streptophyta; Magnoliopsida; Poales; Poaceae
Source: Rfam
AAUCUACUCCCUUCGUCCUAAAAUUAUUGUCUUAGGUUUUUCUAUAAAUGGAUGUAUCUAAAUACUAAAACGUGACUAAAUACAUUCAUAUCUAGAUAAAUCUAAGACAAGAAUUCUGAGACGGAGGGAGUACAUU